UUACGUAACUACGGGGGAGUAACGAACUUAGUAAAUAAGGUAGCUAAUACCGACAUAAGACGCACACGAGCCGCGAUGGCUCAGUGUGAAAACUACCGGUGGUGUAAGAUGGAUCCGCGUCUGAUUAGCUGGUUGGCGGGGUAGAAGCCCACCAAGGCGACGAGUCAGUAGCCGGCCUGAGAGGGUGAACGGCCACAUUGGGACUGAGACACGGCCCAAACUCCUACGGGAGGCAGCAGUGGGGAAUAUUGCACAAUGGGGGAAACCCUGAUGCAGCAACGCCGCGUGAGUGAAGAAGUCAUUCGUGAUGUAAAGCUCUAUCAGCAGGGAAGAAAAUGACGGUACCUGAGGUAAGAAGCCCCGGCUAACUACGUG
Molecule: ribosomal RNA, 375 nt
Filed under: uncultured Lachnospiraceae bacterium
Lineage: Bacteria; Bacillati; Bacillota; Clostridia; Lachnospirales; Lachnospiraceae
Description: bacterial SSU rRNA
Rfam family: Bacterial small subunit ribosomal RNA
Source: RNAcentral